Molecule: ribosomal RNA, 440 nt
Filed under: uncultured bacterium
Lineage: Bacteria
Description: bacterial SSU rRNA
Rfam family: Bacterial small subunit ribosomal RNA
Source: RNAcentral
CCUACGGGGGGCUGCAGUGGGGAAUAUUGCACAAUGGGGGAAACCCUGAUGCAGCCACGCCGCGUGAGCGAUGAAGGCCUUCGGGUCGUAAAGCUCUGUCCUAAGGGAAGAAUACUGACCGUACCUUAGGAGGAAGCACCGGCUAACUACGUGCGAGCAGCCGCGGUAAUACGUAAGGGGCUAGCGUUAUCCGGAAUUACUGGGCGGAAAGUGUGCGUAGGCGGUCCUUCAAGUCAGAGGGGAAAGGCUACGGCUCAACCGUAGUAAGCAUUUGAAGCUGUAGGGCUUGAGUGCAAGGGAGGGGAGAGUGAUUGCCAGUGUAGCGGUGAGAUGCGUAGAUAUUGGGAGGGACGCCAGUCGCGAAGGCGGGUCUCUAGACUGUAAGUGACGAUGAGGCACGAAAGCGUGGGGAGCGAACAGGAUUAGAUACCCUUGUAGUC